GUCGCCCCCUCCCAUCACCGGCUCCCAUCGACGCCCCUCCCCUCACCGGCUUCCGGCGACGCCCCUCCCCUCACCGGCCGUCCCCAACUCCGGUGUGUGCCUCUGAUACCCCUAUUUUCUGUUUUUCUUUUAAGUUAGAUAGUUAGUUUUUUCUGUUUUUUUCAGUUAAAUUAGAUAGUUAGUUUAUUAGGUAGAAUAAAGUAUAUAGAAAAGAACAAAAUAGAUAGAAAAGAAAAAACUUAUAAGAAAAUAAUAGAAGAAAAAAACUAGAAGAAAAAAGAAGAAGAAGAAGAAGNNGAAGAAGAAGAAGAAGAACAAGAACAACAAGAAGAACAAGAACAAGAACAAGAAGAAGAAGAAGAAGAAA
Molecule: long non-coding RNA, 367 nt
Filed under: Hordeum vulgare
Lineage: Eukaryota; Viridiplantae; Streptophyta; Magnoliopsida; Poales; Poaceae
Description: long non-coding RNA (HVUL_LNC009282)
Source: RNAcentral